This 76-nucleotide transfer RNA is filed under the name Tannerellaceae bacterium. Its description in RNAcentral is "tRNA-His". It matches the Rfam family "tRNA". From Rfam's summary of the family: Transfer RNA (tRNA) molecules are approximately 80 nucleotides in length. Their secondary structure includes four short double-helical elements and three loops (D, anti-codon, and T loops). Further hydrogen bonds mediate the characteristic L-shaped molecular structure. tRNAs have two regions of fundamental functional importance: the anti-codon, which is responsible for specific mRNA codon recognition, and the 3' end, to which the tRNAs corresponding amino acid is attached (by aminoacyl-tRNA synthetases). tRNAs cope with the degeneracy of the genetic code in two manners: having more than one tRNA (with a specific anti-codon) for a particular amino acid; and 'wobble' base-pairing, i.e. permitting non-standard base-pairing at the 3rd anti-codon position. The record is from RNAcentral. Lineage: Bacteria; Pseudomonadati; Bacteroidota; Bacteroidia; Bacteroidales; Tannerellaceae.
GGUGCUUGUAGCUCAGUCGGUUAGAGCAUUGGAUUGUGGUUCCAAGGGUCGUGGGUUCGAACCCCAUCUUGCACCC